This is a long non-coding RNA of Mustela erminea (ermine), 989 nucleotides long. RefSeq lists it as uncharacterized. NCBI's taxonomy places the organism in Eukaryota, Metazoa, Chordata, Mammalia, Carnivora, Mustelidae. The record is from RefSeq and is a predicted model, not a curated record. The transcript is spliced from 4 exons.
CGCCUCGCCCUAGUGUGAAUAAAGGCUCCGUAAGGGUGCGGCCGCCCGGGAAAGCCGUCCACCAGCUCUGGCCCAGGGGCCAGAAGCCUCUCCCUCGCCCACCCCGCCGCUGUUGCCGCUCCAGGAGGGCGCCCCGGGACGCGCGUGGCCCCUCCACACCCAGCAUGGGGCUUGAACUCACCACCCUGGGAUCAAGAGUCUGAUGCACCACCAACUGAGCCAGCCAGGUGCCCCUGUUGCUAAUCAUGUGGAAGUGGGACCAGCCUGCUGUGGGGAGCCUCUGGAUGUCACACACAAAGAUGAGGAACUGCACAUGGCACAGAGCCUGGGGCCACAAUGAAUGAGGAGUUUACAGGGCCAGCGAGGACCAUCACUUUUCCUGGCCUACCCAGUUCCCCGUCCUCAGCCCUACCACUCUGCAUGUUCUAGAGAAUGGAAGUCUGUGGUCAAGUUGCGGGCAGCUUGGUUCCCCUGAGACGUCUCUCUUGGACUCCCAUGUGGCAGCCUUCCUGCUCUGUCCUCACGUGGCCUCUCCUCUGUGUGCACUCACUUCUGAUGUCCCUUACCCUUCUCAGAAGGCACCCAUCCAGUUGAAUCAGGACCCCACUGUUAGGAGCUCAUUCAUCCUUAAUUAUCCCCUUAAAGUCCCCGUCUCCAAAAACAGUUCCCCUGGGGGGGGUGGGGGUGGGUAGGGCUUCAACUAUGACUUUUGGGUGGGGGGACAGUGGAUUCCAUAACAGAGACUAACUUUGAUGGGAGCCACUUAGCAAACACAGAUGGUCUAAUUACAGAGAAUAACAUUUAAAAGCUCAGGAAAUAACUCCAUGUGCUCAGCACAUCCUGUUGCUCAGCUUCAGGACUUACCCACUAACUUCCCCACCUCUUGAACACCCUCUGCUCCUUGUUUUAGUGGAGUGGACUUCAGGCUGAGUUCUGGCCUCUCUCCCCUAUUACAACAGCCUUCAGUAAAGUCUUCUUUGCCUGCUCAA